AAAAAGCUGAUUUGUAACAUGAUGGCUUUUUAAAGCAGUGUUAAAUCCCUGCCAUUUGGUGUUCAGGAGGUAAAGCAGCUGAGCAGACUCAAGUCUUGAGAGUGCAUAGGUAUAAGCUAGUGCCAUCAGAUUGUCAGAGGAAGGUUGUCCUGUUCCUGUGUUCUUCACAGAAGGGUCUGUGGCACUCUGAUCUAUUCCAAUUUCAGUGAAGUAUACUUCUGCUUUUCUCUUCUAUUUUUUUAUGAGAAAAAAA
Molecule: long non-coding RNA, 253 nt
Organism: Oxyura jamaicensis (ruddy duck)
Lineage: Eukaryota; Metazoa; Chordata; Aves; Anseriformes; Anatidae
Exons: 3
Source: RefSeq, a predicted model, not a curated record